CCAUAAAGAACAUAUAUUUUUUUGGAUGCUGUGUCAAGGCAUAGUUCUUCCCUUCCCCAACCCCCGCACGUCAUUAGCACAGCACAGUAUCCUCCACUUUCUGACUUGGCAGAAGAAGAGCCUAGUGCCUGGAAAGUGAGGGAAGGGAAGCAUGAUAUUUUUUUUUUUUUACUAGAAGUUUUUCUGGAACCCACCUCUUAAGGACCCGUGCCUUAAAAAAGUAGGAGUUACCAGGAUUUUCCUUCCUAAAGGUUGUAUUUGAAGGAACUAGACCAGGUUCUCCCUGGUCCACACCCACACUGUCCCCAUCUCCGAUCCCACUUCAUGCAUUUCCAAGGAGGCAAUGUGGCCUUUCCUGCCCCCACCCCCACCCCGUAAUGCUAAUGUGUAGGGGGCAGGGGAGAGGUUCUACUAGGCAAUCUGUAAAGUCCCUUACACUUCUUACUCUAAAGCUCCCCCUUUACUUUGGCAUUCAGUAGAGCAAGCUGAGUUUGGGAAUACAACCCUGAAGAAAAGGAGGUGAUGGCCCCACGCCUAAACAGCUUUUUGAAGAGCCAAAGUGGCAGUACUUGGAGAAGCAGCUGCAUAGAGCAGCGGGCCUGGAGUCUGUUAGACCUAAUUUUCCUGCAGCAUUCACAGAAAGGAAAAGAAGAAAGCAACUUCAGGAACUUGUUCGUGGGGGUACAACACCGGCAGAAGUUGAACCAGCCAUCAGCCAGUUCAGACCAAUUCAUUGUGGCAAAGUAGACCCGGAGUCAGAAAUAUCAAUUCUAUCACUUCGGCCACAUCAAUUGGACAGAAAGGGGUCAAGAAGUUAAAAGGAAGCUUCCUUCCCUACUCUUUGCUCUUGACUUGGAGAAAGUCCCAGAAAUCAAGUUUGGGGCAGACUGACAUUGCAGAGUUACCCAAGCCUAAAAUGAAAGUCUGUUUUUGGAAUGGGCAUUUCAGCAGCUCUUAUAGUCAAUGAGCAUUUAUUAAGCACCUAUUAUGUGCCAAGCACUGUGCUAAGCUCUGUGUUAAGCAAAAGGAAUACA
This is a long non-coding RNA of Trichosurus vulpecula (common brushtail), 1034 nucleotides long. RefSeq lists it as uncharacterized. The transcript has 3 exons. Lineage: Eukaryota; Metazoa; Chordata; Mammalia; Diprotodontia; Phalangeridae. The record is from RefSeq and is a predicted model, not a curated record.